AUUCCCUAGUAACUGCGAGUGAAGCGGGAAAAGCUCAAAUUUGUAAUCCGUCCCCCGACGGAGUUGUAAUCUAGAGAAGUGUUUUCGGCCGUUGUCUCGGAUAAGUCCCCUGAAACAGGGCGUCAUAGAGGGUAACAAUCCCGUCCUUACCGAGGUCGCAAUGUCUAUGUGAUACACUCUCGAAGAGUCGAGUUGUUUGGGAAUGCAGCUCAAAAUGGGUGGUAAAUUCCAUCUAAAGCUAAAUAUUGGCGAGAGACCGAUAGCGAACAAGUACCGUGAGGGAAAGAUGAAAAGCACUUUGGAAAGAGAGUUAAACAGUACGUGAAAUUGCUAAAAGGGAAGCGCUUGAAGUCAGUCGCGUCGUCAGAGACUCAACCUCACUCAUGGUGUAUUUCUCUGGUGACGGGCCAACAUCGAUUUUGGGCGUGGGAAUAGGAUACAGGGAAUGUGGCAGCCUCGGCUGUGUUAUAGCCCUGCAAUCGUAAACCACGCCUGGGAUCGAGGACCGCGGCUCUGCCUAGGAUGUUGGCGUAAUGGCUUUAAGCGACCCGUCUUGAAACACGGACCAAGGAGUCUAACAUGUCUGCGAGUGUUUGGGUGUCAAACCCAUGCGCGCAAUGAAAGUAAACGUAGGUGGGAGGCCUCGGCCGCACCAUCGACCGAUCCGGAUCUUUAGUGAUGGAUUUGAGUAAGAGCAUAUAUGUUGGGACCCGAAAGAUGGUGAACUAUGCCUGAAUAGGGCGAAGCCAGAGGAAACUCUGGUGGAGGCUCGUAGCGAUUCUGACGUGCAAAUCGAUCGUCAAAUUUGGGUAUAGGGGCGAAAGACUAAUCGAACCAUCUAGUAGCUGGAUCUGGCGGAG
RNAcentral lists this ribosomal RNA (860 nucleotides) under Calocera viscosa. RNAcentral's name for it is "LSU rRNA". It matches the Rfam family "Eukaryotic large subunit ribosomal RNA", at positions 74 to 965 of the family's 3401-position model. Lineage: Eukaryota; Fungi; Basidiomycota; Dacrymycetes; Dacrymycetales; Dacrymycetaceae. The record is from RNAcentral.